UGUCCUGAUACUAAUUCUUCAGUAGCUUACGCACGUAUAAUGUGUAUUUGUUUCAGUGAUUGUUGUCCAUUUAGAUACCUACGACCAUGGCCUAAUUUGUGUCUCAAAGUGUUGAAAUGAUUUUAUCAUAGACUGUUAUACGUUUUGAUUGCUGUGAGCAUUCAAGGGCCCCAUGCCAUUUGGGGGAAGCUCUUUCAAUAGCUUCGAAAUACCUGCAGGUUCUCUGCGGGGUGCUCGGAAGUUGGGGCCCUAGAUAAAAUGCAGUGGUCUCAUAGUACGAGGAUGCGCUUUGGUCGAUGAUUUCUCACCGAUCAGUCUUUCGCAGCCUUGCCUCCAGUGACCCCCAUACUUGUUGAAUCACAACCCUUAUAAUCGUGGCAUGUAUAGUUAGGAUGUAGCGAAUGGUGAGAUUUGUUUGCUGUACUAUCGUGUAUACAUUUGUAGCAUCAUCUAUUCCAAUCUGCGUUUUUGUUUGAUUUUGGUAGCUCUUGGUGAUGUAUUAGUCUCUGGAGUAUUCAACUUGUCUUUGUUUCCCUUGUGAACUUGAUGUAUUGAACCAGAUAACUGUGUUGGUUCCCCCAUCAGUGUUUCCAAGGCAUCAGAGUUGGUAAAUAUUGUGAAAUCAGUUCACGCAUAGUCAAGCCUAGAAUUCUAGGCAUGAACUAUUUCUGUUUUUCGCAUCUGAUUGUUAUGCACGUUCAAGGGCCCCAUGCCAAUUGAGGGAAGGUCUUUUUGCUAGCUUCGAAAUACCUGCAGGUUCUCUGUGGGGUGCUCGGAAGUUGGGGCCCGAUAUAAAGUGCAGUGGUUUCAUAGUACGAGGAUGUGCUUUGGUUGAUACUCAUUUGACCAAUUCUUCACAGCCUUGCCUCCAAUGACCCCCAUAUUUGUUAUUUCUCGUUAGUGUAUCACUCAUGCAGUAAGAUUAAUUUGCUUGUUGUACCAUUGUAUACUUGUGUUGUUUAGGUAUUUGAGAUGUUUUAUUCCUUGCAUUGGAUUGCAUAUCGUUCCCCUCAGUCUAGAAUCCAGAAAUAGGGAUUAUGAGCUAGAUGGGCUUUUGGAUCGUUGCCUUAAUACAAUGUAUUUAAGAUCACAGCGUGUUUUAUCUUUACUUGCUACCUGUGUUUUAUGUUACAAUGAUAUCACUAUGUAGUCUCUUUUCCUGAAAGUUCCAAUCCUUGUUUACAAGCAUCACAUGCCCAGAAAUGUGAGAACUCACAAGUGCUUCUCUUUCUCUUUGCAGGUUUUUUUUUUGCCUAUUCUAUUUAGUUGUAGCUGGCUUCCUGGAUGUCUGUUAUCAGUUUGAUGACAGGUUUAUAACCAAAGAUUUUGGAAAGAGUUUAGUUAAUACUCCCUCUGUAAACUAAUAUAAGAGCAUUUAGAUCACUACUUUAGUAUUCU
This 1398-nucleotide long non-coding RNA is filed under the name Triticum aestivum (bread wheat). RNAcentral describes it as "long non-coding RNA (TAES_LNC010185)". Lineage: Eukaryota; Viridiplantae; Streptophyta; Magnoliopsida; Poales; Poaceae. The record is from RNAcentral.